Molecule: microRNA precursor, 77 nt
Filed under: Podarcis lilfordi (Lilford's wall lizard)
Lineage: Eukaryota; Metazoa; Chordata; Lepidosauria; Squamata; Lacertidae
Source: RNAcentral
GUGUGUGUGUGUGUGUGUGUGUGUGUGUGUGCGUGUAUGCAUGCACACACGCGCACACACACACACACACAAUGUGU